Columba livia (rock pigeon) is the source of this 9281-nucleotide long non-coding RNA. RefSeq lists it as uncharacterized. The record is from RefSeq and is a predicted model, not a curated record. The transcript has 5 exons. NCBI's taxonomy places the organism in Eukaryota, Metazoa, Chordata, Aves, Columbiformes, Columbidae.
AUUACAGCCUGCGUGCUCUGGCUGGGCAAGUGCCUGCUCCCUCAUGCUGGUGAUUCCAUUCUGUGUUCAAUGGAGAUCUCUGGGUGAGGGGAGAAAUGAACUGAGAGAAGGUACAGACGUGCAGGGGUGUGGAGGAGCACUGCAGAGUUGUUCCCUGCCAUGUGGAAAGCCUGUCACCGCCACACACAGUGCUUCUGGUCCUGCCCAGGAAAUGUCUGUGGAUGUCAAGGACCUAAAUUAAAAAUGCCAGUAUGUUCCCGCUCCGAAGCUCUACACCAGCCCAGCCAUCACACCUGAGCACCUGGCAGGUCUGACUACAGCUCUGUCAAGAUCUUCAGGAAAUGAAGCUAAUAUUUAAUUCCAUCUGCCAGCUUGUUUUUCUACCAAGCAGUGUCUGAGAAGAAUAAAUGUAACUGUAUCCUGACCUGCCUGGCAAAAGAUCUGACCCUCUCCCUCCACAAACAGACAAUUUUUGACUUCUUUCUUUGAGGAAGAAUAUGUGCAAAGCUAGAUGAAACCAGACAGCCAUAUCUGUAUGAAUAGAAACAAGCAGCUGUGUGCUCAUCUCAGACUCCAGCAUAUAAAGACUGUCUCCUGCCUCAAGGAAGUUGGCAUUCAAGAGGAGAGAUGUUCCAGACGUUAGCUGGAAAGUCACAAAAGUUCACGCAAGGCACCUCAUGGAGAACUGGUUUUCCUGGAAACAGGUGAGUGGAGGAUUAGUGAAUGGUCUGACCCACAUAGGACACUGAGGAGUGAAGGACAAUGUGCUGUGGGUGUGACACAGCAAGUUCAUGUGCUGGUCUGUUGGGAAUUGUUACAAAUGCAGACUAUGUGGCUAUAUAAUGAAAAUAAGAAAGAAAUGUAAAAAUAAUCAAAAGUAAGAAUUAAUUCAGAGACAUAAAAGGGAAUCCUUGCCACGGAAGAAAGUCUUACGUUAGUUAAACACAGAGAUUAGGUUUUAGGAAGGGCUUAGCCACUGCAGAUGAGAACUUCCACAGGGACACAGAUCGGAGGAACUCAGCUUCAAUGUGAGACCCAUGAUUAUUAAGAUUAUUGAUCUCAAUCAAUAAUGUAAAGUAUUGAACUCCAGAUAAGCUAAUUAAAUAUGUUCCUGCUAUCCUACCUUGGUCUAAAUAAGGUGAAGACUAUGCCAGCAAGCUGGGUCUUUUGACCUUUUUCUUGUGGAAAAUCCUGGCUCAUCUCUGUCUCUUAUCUCUACUGUUUGUCCAUCACCUAAAUUCCACUUAGCUUAACUAUAGUAAGGAUGACGUAAGAUGCGUGUUAUAGUUAUUCAUGCUAAGCCACUGGUCAUAUUCAUACAGUCACAAAUCAAUAGGCCUGGACAUUAUCCACACAAGUGUGUUAAGAAAGCUGGUUGACAUUGUUUUGUGGCUGCUCUCCAUAAUAUUUGAAAAGUCAUGGAGAUUGAGGGAUGUGACAGAAGACUGGAAGAAGGCUGAUGUCACCCCCAUCUACAAGAAGGUCUUAAAGAAGGAUCCAAGAAAUUAUAGGCCCAUCAGUGUUACUUCAGUCCCUGGGAAAGUUACAGAAUAAAUCCUCCUGGGAACUAUCACAAGUUACAAGAAGCAAGCGAUUGGGAAAAGCCACCAAGGGCAAAUCAUGCCUGACAAAUGCUGUCGCCUUGUAGACAAAGUAACCUUCUUGGCUGAUGUGGGGCAAGUGGUGGAUGUUGUCUACCUGGAUUUGUCCAAGGCUUUUGAUACUGUUUCCCACAGCCUCCUCCAAGAGAAACUGAGUGUUACAGUCUAGACAAGUGGUCUCUGUGGUAGGUGGGCAACAGGCUGACAGGCUGUAGCUGAAGGGUGGUCAGUGGCUCCAUUUCAAACUGGCAACCUGACAUGAGUGGGGUACCCCAGGGAUCGAUAUUAAGCCCAACACUGUUUAAUAUUUUCAUAAGUGAUCUGGAUAAUGGAAUCAAGUGUAGCCUGAUGAAAUUUGCUGAUGACACCAAACUGAGUGGGGAAGUGGACACUUUGGAAGGGAGAACCUUCUGCAGGAUGACCUAGAUAGGCUGGAAGAGUGGGCUAACAAGAACCUUAUGAAAUUCAACAAGGACAAGUGUAAGGUCUUUCACCUUGGAAAACAUAAUCCAGGAGUGCAUCACAGGCUGAGAUCUACCCGGAUGGGGAGCAGCUCUGUGGAAAGGGACCUGGGGGUCCUGGUGGACAACAAGCUCAAUAUGAGUGAACAGUGUCCUGGUGCAGCAAAGAAGGCCGAUGGGAUGCUGGGUAGCAUCAACAAGGGCAUCACCAGUCGACGACAAAGAAGUCAUUAUGCCACUGCACUCAACACUUGUCCAGCCACACCUGGAAUACUGUGUCAGAUUUGGUCCCCGCUAUAUAAAAAAGACGUGGCCAGGCUGGAGAUGGUCCAGAGAACGGCCACAAAGAUGAUCAAAGGACUGGGAAGCCGCUAAAUGAGGAAAGGCUGAGAGAACUGGGCUUGUUCAGCCUUGAGUAAAGAAGGCUCAGGGGAGACCUCAUCACCAUGUUCCAGUAUUUAAAGGGCAGCUACAAAGGAUAUGGAGAUUCCCUUUUCGGGAGUCACAUGGAAAGGAAGAGGGGUAAUGGGUACAAGUUACUCCUGGGGAAAUUCUGAUUGAGUGCAAGAGGAGAAUUUUUUAUGAUGAGAACAAUCAGCCAUUGGAAUAAUCUUCCCAGGGAAGUCGUGGAUUAUCCAACAUUGGACACUUCUAAGAUUCAGCUGGACAGGGUGGUGGGCCAUCUUGUCUAGACUGUGCUUUUGCCAAGAAAGGUUGGACUGGAUGAUCUUUGAGGUCACUUCCAACCUGAUAUUCUAGGAUUCUAUGAUAAUAUUCCAUUUCUAGUGAUUAUAAAUAUUUUCCCCUAUAAUACAAAGCUACAUUCAAUUUUUUUUUUUUUUUUUUAGUCCUACUAAAGGAAUUAAAAUGAAACAAUGGGACAACACGUGAGACACAGGACAUGAUCAGUCACCAACACCAGUGCCAGGGCAAAGAAAAAUCUGGGAGAUGGUAACUUGAAUAGGUGAGAGUGGGUGGGGGGAGUUUCACAUCACGUCUUUCCAAGCAAGGGCUUUGCUCCCCAGGUGCAAGUCCCUGUCAUGACUGCUCCUCAGUGCCAUGGGGCUUCAUUUAAUGCUCUGUGGAGAGGCAGGUUCGGGGCUUGCUCCAACAGCAAUGAAGUGCAGGUGCUGCUGCCCUUGUUCAGUGUGGAGGACAAAGCUGGGGGCACAAGAAGAGGUCACACUUUCAGAGGGACCCACAAUGUGGGGGCUCCUAGCAAAUGUAGCUUCACUGGACUUCACUUUCAGGAUGACUGUAUUCAGCCCUUUCUGCCAAAUACAUCUCUUUUAAGUUAUCUCCAAAGUGGAUAAAUUCAUAGGCAUUUUCCUAAUCCUCUGGAGUGUUAAACUCAGAAAGUUGAACAGACUUAGAGCAUCCCAAGCUGACUUCUGAGAUCCAGUUAUUGGCAGGAUUUAGUUUCCUUUUGGAUUUGUGAAACACGAAAAAAUUAGAUGGUGUGUCCCCCCCCCCGCCAUUUUGAAAUGUUUGCCAAAUGUGUCCUGCAAACACAUCAACCUGGACACUCUCAACACUGACAGUCUCUAACUGUGCUGAUUAAUGACUUUCAAAUACUUGCACUGUGGGAAUGUGGGAGUGCUAUUAUUUUUCUUCCCAGGCAAGCAUGAUACUCACAUCACUCACUCCUCCUUCCAGGGUUUUUGGGAUAGCUGUGAGAAUGUGCCCUGCACAAAUAGAUACAUGACAUUUUCUCUAGACAAGCUUUUCUUUGUAUUCUUUCUUCAAAUAUUUGUGGGAAAUAGAUAAACACAUCAGGAAUGCCAUGGUAGGGAAUUAACUCUUUUCAGAGGAAAAUACCAUCACAGAGAUACUGCAGCUCUUCCCCUGAGCCUCUGCUCCAGCCUGCCCUGCUCACCUUAGCCUUUGGGCACACACCAGGAUAGAAAGCUGGGCUGCUAGCCAUGAGCAAUAAACUCUUUCGUAUCUAGGUUGCCACCUCCAGUCUCAAGACAUGACAAAGUGGUUCUGAUCAGAUAAUGAUUUUCUGUCAUCACCCAGCAAAGGAUGAGUGUGUGAAUCACUAAAAUCAAGACAGCAUGGAUGCUAUGGGUAGGACAAGAAAUUUGGUUUCUCCAGGGUCCCUCUAUAAUGAGUUUAGAAAAGCUCCUUGAAGAGGGCCAUCAGGUGCCUUCAGCUUCAUGGCUAGCAUCUUACUGGACAUUUGCUGGCAAGAGCAGAAAUCUUUUAUAUCCAUGGAUCUCUUCUAGGCAUGACCAUUAUAGAGAUGAUCUUCAGUACUUCCUACAACAGUUCUAUCUGCGCUGGGAAUAGAAAACUUCCAGUCAAGAGAGCUUCAAGAAGAAAAUUUGAUCUAACACAUGACAAUAAUCCACUUCCUGUUCUUGAAAACUCAGUGAUAGGGGCUACAUUAGUGUCCCUCUUUGAACCUUCUCAUGCUAUCUUUGGUAAGGUUUUCUCAAUUUCAUGGCUAACACAUUCCUUCAUGGCCUUUUAUUUUCACUCCUGCUGGGCAGAUCUUUGAAGGAUUCUCAAGAGCCAUUCAGUACUUAUAAAAGAAAUAAAACUUCUCUGAGGAAAGUAAGGUACCAUCCUUCAGCUGGGCAGGAAGGGAUUUGCCCUUUAGUUGCCAAAAGCAGUCUCACAACUAAUGUCAGUAUGUCAGGCAGUUUCAUUUGGGUUAGCCGCAUGUGCAGUGGAAGUUUCCAGACAUGCGGAGACAUCCAAGGUAGAUGAAUUGAGAUGAACAAGCCUUUCUCAAAUGGGAAUAGGAAGGAACAGCCAGAGAAGGUAAUGAAUUAAGUUGGCAAGCUGCUCUGCCAGACUUGUCUCAGGUCAAGCUUGUGCAGAUCUGAAAAGAUCACUGUUCUUUCUCCAGUUCAGGUGUUACAAAGCUCCCAGAGUUUCAAAGUUUCCCUUCUCAGAAGCUGUGAUUGCUCAAGCCUAUGAAAGUAUACGGGUGCUAGUCUUGUCCAGCUCUAGCUCCUUCAUAUCUGUGAUCAAAUAGUGAAUCUAUGCCUGCUAGGUACUAUUCAUUAUUCCAGCUCUUUUCCAGAAAUGAUGUGGCUGAGCCAGAGUAUCCCCAGCAGACCCAGGUUAGCAGCUGAUUGCUGGGUUUUAAAUGGCCUUGAACAAGGCUCCAUCAUUCAGGUAUUUUUUUCCAAUGGAAAAUGAGUUGGAGACCACUCACACAUCUCUCAGAACAGCUGCUUUUCUUCAUUCUUGGAUUCUCCUGUGACCAUGAGUGCCCUACCAAACAUUUUCAUUUUGCUUUUUCACUAGACUAAAUGCAGACCCAUCUGACAGUCAUUACUCUGGGCCCUCUCUCCUUUCCGAGUCCUUUCCUAUGAAAGGAGAAUUGAAUGUGGAAGUGUCCAUAAGUUCAUCACAAAGAAGUCAGCAUGACACUGUCCUGUCCCAUUUCCAGUUAGAGGGAAGGACAUGAGGGUUACUUGAGCAGAGAUCUUCUGUACAUGGUGAGAAGUCCAAGGAAGCAUGGCUUUAUUUGUCCAACAUUUAAAGGUAUAAAGCUAAAAACCUGACAAUUAGAAUGCAUUCUGCCUGGUAAGCAUCACUGGGGUGAUUAAAGAACCAUUUGUGCCAAGCAGUCCCAAACUGACUGCAUUAAACAACACAGAAACUUCUCUGUGAAACCAUUAGCCUGUGGGUGAAAACUAUUGAAGUCUGAUUUAUUUAUUUUCUGUCAUAGGUGGCCUUCCAAAUCUCACUGCCAUUUAGUUUACCAGCAGUAGCACCUGUGCACUAGAAAAUAAACUGAGGUACCUGUUUAUACAGAAAAAGUUCAGAGUGGAAAACAGUAACCCACCGAACUGCAUCAUGGUUUUCUCCAACUUCAGGAACAGCUAGAAAGGUUUCACAGCCAAGAAUUAAUCUGACACAUUUUUCUGAUGCAUCCAAGGUCUGACUUGAAUUCAGGUUUUGCAUUCAUGGCUCGUCAAAAACGUGGUUGUACUAAACAAUCUGCCUGUUUCAGUAACCUGUGUAGAUAGGAUGUGAGAAGCUCACAGGUAAAUGUUACAGAAAGCCCAAAGUGAUGUUUGUACAGCUAUUCUUAGCAGAGAUUUUAUUGACCCAACAUCAUCUGUGUUGCUUAAAAUGCCAGUUCUGGUAAAAAGUGCUGGACUGACAACUGUGGGGACUUGAGGUUUGUUUAUUCACUGAACCAAGAGAAAAAUCAUCAGCAGAGAAUGUUUCCUUCCCAGCAGUCCCUGCCAACUUUAUUUUUAUUACCUAACACUCAUACUGAAGCACUGUUUAGGGGCUCCAAACAGUUUACACUCCCUCUGCUGAGUACUGUAAAAAUAGCAAACCUCUUCCAUUCUAACAAACAGGACCAGGAGUAAAGCACCCCUCACUCCUCUGGGACUCCCAAUGUAGCUGCAGCUACAUACUGUGGAUUUUUUUCUGUCCAGACCAAGACCUGCAAAUUCAUUUCAUGCAGGGAACAGUAUGAACAUCUGGCACCAGCUAAUCACUCACCGCCUACUUAGGCUGCUGUCAAAAUCCUGUUUUAGUAGGAACCUGACCUAAAGCUGUAGCAGGUUUCUACAUGGUACAUAUGUGUAAAUCAAGACAAAAUGAACGGCAGCAGAAGGAAAACUAAGAGAAGGGGAUAGCUGCUAGAGACAGUGCAUUACUGAGACACCUGUUUGCCAUAGGGGCAGCAGAAUAAGACAAACUUGUGAAAAUAACGUUUGAUGGCCAGGGCUGAAGCUGAAGAAACUGACAAGAUCUUGUUUCUGGGGGAACUCCAGUGAAAGGAGAUGGCAUCCCCAUUUGGAGUCCAUCCAGUUCAGCACUCAGUGACAAGUGCAGCCCUUCAGCAUAGAUCACUCUAAUUGCCUGCUAUUUACUGUGUAAUUGCCCUAUAAACAGACACAUACAUACAGCAUAAGAAGAGAAUUGGGAUCUAUAAUUAUAUGCAAUUAGCAACAUUCAUUGCUCUCUGCUCUACUUAUCCCUAAUGAAUGGCCUGUGCAAACAGCAGGCUUCCUACUGGGACAAAUUUAUAUGUGACAUGGGCAAAGGUAGCACCAGAGAUUAGCACUACUUGUCAUGGAGUGAGGAAAUGGAGUAUUGCAGUCUAGCAUGAGUGAUAACCAGGUCCACAAGCCCUGGGGUGGGUCAGAUGGACAGACCAUGGCAAAAGGAUUCAAAGGGCUCAGGCUCUACUUUUGGACCUGGCAGUGUGGUUUCAGGAAAAUAUUUUUGGUAGCUUUAUGCAUCAGCUUCACCAUCUACAAGACAAGGCUGGCAUCCUUGUCUUGUUUGAAAUUGAGGUGGAACAUACAGAAGAACAAUUUUAUGAAGGAUAUACCAUUAUUUCAAGAAUCCACAAGUGGCCCUCAUAUGUAAGAGUCUAGUAAAUACUCUGAAAUCUUAGUGGAUGCAAAAGAAUUAGAGAGAUAUGACUUAAAGGUAUUAGCACUGUACCUGAUGAGAGCAGCACUGGCUGAAGAGGCAAAAAUGUGUGACUGAGGAGCUUCUCCAAAGCUGGAAAUUUUAGGGUUAGGCAAAGCCAGAUGUAUCCAAGGUGUUGACAGAAGACCAUAGGGGAACAGGGACAGCCUCAUCACAUCAGGCUUAUAAAACAAAGCAAUUAAAUGUUGGAAAACUGUAUUAUUGGGUGCAAAUCAAGUCCUUCUGUGCCUGACAGAUGGAGAAAAUGGAGUUUUCUGUCCCUAGUAGCUAGGGUUCUAGGAAACAGAGUUGUACCCAGAGUGAAUCAAAAUUGUCUGCAAGGCACUCCAGCAGAUCUGUCAUUUGCUAAAUAGUGAUGAUAGUGGUGAAAAAAUACCCAUGUGCUAAAGAAAUCUGCUGAAAAGGGAAACUGCCCAGCUGGGCUUCCACUCCUGUGAAUUCAGGCUGUGGUAUUAUCUGGGAGGCUGGCUUCCUGCUGGCAAAUGUUAGCCAGUACCUUCUGGAAGAGAAAAAAGCAGAACAUUUUUUAUGGCCCAGCCCUCCUGGGGAGGUGUAUCCUCCCAGGAGGAAUUCAGCAGCUUAGCUUAGAAUUGCUCUUUUUAUCUCUUCCAUUUUUCUCUUGCAUUCCCAGCAAUGCAGGUCAAUUCUUCUGGCCUCCUUAGGCCCAUCCUUGCAGAGCUCAGUCUCUUUUCCUCCCAGAGGACUACAUCCCCCUCUGGACUUCACCACAUGGGUGAGGGCAGAGCUGCUGUGGCCAGGCUGCCCAGGGUGGCCGUGCUGCUGCUGCCUCAAAGAGACAACACUCAGCCUUGCUGCCAACUGCACCUAGAGGGGUGCUUUGUGCCAGAGGCAGAGAAGCCUUGUAUUUGCAAUUUGUUUUGAGGAAGAAAAUCUCUAGGAAUUAAACAUGAACUUCUGUUCCCUUUUAUUUGCUGACAAUCUCAUCUUGGCGGGGUCAGCAUCCCUUCCCACACACAGCCUGUGUCAGCUCAGGCUUCUCCUCUUUGUACUCAGCUGGUUAGUGCCCUUCCUACUGGCUGCCCCGAUGUGAGGGGGCUUGUUUAAUGAAAUCUCCCUUCAAAUGGCAGAUUUCCCUGACACAGGCUCUCUCUUACUUGGCCCCAGGAGAUUUAAGAAUAAGCAGAGGAAUUUCUCCACCUACGCAGAGCAGAGUGUAAAUCAUGGGUGGGUGGGCAGCAGGCUCUAGGGGCUUUGGAAGACAGUAAAGCAUCUCCCAGGAGAAAAGCAGCUUUGACCUACCCUGAGGACCAUCGUUCUGUUCCCUUUCAGAAAAUGCUAACAGAGGCUGCUUCUGGUUCAUCCCCUUUCCAGCAAGUGCUUGCCUUUUUGGACCUUUAUUUCCAUGAGAUUGCCUGAAUUUUUCUGUGCUGUACAGAGAAAGUUUCAUUCAGGCAUCAGCCUCACAUUCCCGUCACACAGCUCUUCUCCACAUUUUGGCUUUUCUUAACUCAGAAGAGCCCCACACCCUCUGCUGCUGCCCUGGACCACUCCAUGGACUGCCCAGCCCCAUGGAGCACAGUGUCACAGCAGGGCAGGCUCCUGCCUAAGUACCAUCCUGGCAGCCCAGCAGGGACAGCCAUUGGCUCUCUCUGUGCUGAGGAGCUUGGCACAAAGGGACACUGGCCAGGCAUAAGCCUAUUGACCUGGAGGAGCAUGAUGUUGGCCUUGCUUUAGCUGGAGAGUUCAGCACUGGGUAAUCACAGCAACUUAGGCACAGCCUCUAUGCCCAGCAAAUGCUAUAUUUAAUGUGAAUAAAAUAAUUACAGGAAUUGUACUC